This 253-nucleotide ribosomal RNA is filed under the name uncultured bacterium. RNAcentral's name for it is "partial 16S ribosomal RNA". It matches the Rfam family "Bacterial small subunit ribosomal RNA", at positions 524 to 776 of the family's 1533-position model. The record is from RNAcentral.
GACGAACCGUGCAAACGUUGUUCGGAAUCACUGGGCUUAAAGGGCGCGUAGGCGGGCUAUAAAGUCAGUGGUGAAAUCUUUCAGCUCAACUGGAAAAGUGCCGCUGAUACUGAUAGCCUCGAGGGAGGUAGGGGUCGAUGGAACUAAUGGUGGAGCGGUGAAAUGCGUAGAUAUCAUUAGGAACGCCGGUGGCGAAAGCGAUCGACUGGACCUCUUCUGACGCUGAGGCGCGAAAGCCAGGGGAGCAAACGGG